GAUAAGCUGCACUGGGCUUGCUCUGCACAGCCCCUGGCCACUGCUCAGGCUGAGGUCUUGGACGCAGUCCGCUGGCAGGCCUCCUGCCAGGGGAUUUGUUGCUGUGAGAGCUUGGCUUAGGCAGGGCUUUAUUACAAAAAUUGUCUCGAUUCUUCCGUCUUAUUAAAAUCUAUCCCACCCUUCCCCGCCACCCCAGGAGGAGGAAUAUUCUGUAUAUAUCUGGACGAAACACACAAACGAAUUCAUUUCCCACGGAUAAUAUAUUCAGGGUGAUUUGCUUUUCAGAGUCGGGAGCUCAAAAUGAUGAAUUUAUUAUGCAAAGUAAUAAUUGCAAAUUAUAUUGGCAAACUCCAUUCCAGAAAAAAAAAUGGGGGGGAGGGGUUGGUAUUAAUAUAACUAAAAGGAUUAAAAAAUACUGGCUGUUAACUUGGGGCUACUGCAGAUAUUUUAGGAGGUUAUAUAUCUCUGUUCCACCUAAACCACCAGAGGCAGUAGCUUUCAUUUUAAAGGUCUAGUGAGAUACCGUAAUUAAUGGGCCCACCUAACAGCAUAUGUCGCACUUGUAUUGAGUGGUAGGACAUGGUGUAUAUAAUGAAAGAAAGUGAAGGAAAUGCUUAGCGUCAAAAAUUAGCAUUUCUUUUUAGUUCAUUUUUUAGUGCAAAGGAAUGAAAUACAUCAGAGUCAAAGCACAAAAGCAAUGGACUCCAGCUUUUGGGUCGGCUCAGCCUGUGCCUUCAGCAGGGUAACUGCAUGGUGUAUGAUGAUUUUCCAGAUCCUUCUGGGAUCCUAAAGGCUGCAAUUACAGUCCCUUGGAGCCAAGUGGUGCUUCCUAAAGGCUGGAGCAGCGGGUGAACCUGAGGGCAGGGGGCUCUUCCACCUUGUAGCUGCCCGCAGGCUCCCUCACCGAUUUGGUCCUUUGUGGUCAGCAGCAGAAAGGGGCCCUAGCAGUUGUCAGGGUUGAUGUCUCUGACAUAGCACUUGUUAGCCACAUGGGAUUUGUUCUGCUGGAUCUGUACAUUAUGUCAGGAUUCUCAAAGGAUUAAUUUACAAUCAUGGUCUUCUUCAUGAAAAGCACAUCUCUCUGCUGCUAUAGAAUCAUUUUCAUCUCUGGCACACAUGUCCCAUUAGGAAGUACUAACUGAGUGGUUGAUUAUAUUUUCUGGGAUAGUUGAGAUUUGUGGGUAAUUAUGAGAAAAAUAAAUAUAAUGUGCUUGUAAACCUUGCAAGUAAUAGUUGCAGUACUAAUGCCGUAAUUCAUGGGCAUUGCACCAUUGGAAAGUGAUGGAGCUUGUUAAAUUAAAAUGCUGGUGAUGUUUUUAACAUACUUUCAUGAAAGCAUGAUGAUCUGAGUGCAAAGUGGGAUUCAGGUGCUCCACAAGUUGCCGUUCUGGCUCUGGCACACUCUCUGGCUGCGCACUUGAGACAGUCCUCAGAUGAGGGUGAUAGCUAUUUAGCAUUUGCAAGGGACUUUGAAGACAUGGGAGCUGUGGGAGUUUACACACCAUGGCAAACUGAGAACAAACUGUCUAACACUUAUUUCCUCACAUCUUUUCUUCUAACGUGCCUUACCAACAGCCAUUUAUGAAAAGAGUGUUCCACCUUGUGGAAAAGGAGUCACUGGAGGAAAAGAGGGGCAGUGGAGAUGUUUAACGUGUAAACACUGAGCUUAUGAUCAACAGUGUCUUCAUUGAACAACAAAUUUGUGUUUUGCUUUUCAAGCAGAGCAACUGAGACCAUUCGGUUCACAGAUUAUUACACGGACCCCAAGACCAGCAUGCCUUAGGACUGACCAAGAGGAGCAGUCUGCAGCCUCCAGCCUUGCCCACUUCACCCAGCCUGCAGUAUCCGUAGCAAGAGCAAAGGUGACUGUUAGCCUGACUUUUGGCCUUUCUGAGUGUGAUGACAAAGCUAUUGGCAACCAGUACAAAACUCAAUGGGCACAGCUUUAAAACUGAGCUUCUUUUGCCUGUAAAGUGAAGGACAGCUGAUACAACUACUUCUGAAUUCAGACAGCAAGGGCUAAGUAUCUCACCACAGAAACAUCGCUGAAGAAAAGAUGUUCAGCACCCUUCAUGGAGAAUGGUGGCAGAGAAAGACAAGGGACUUCCUCUCUGCUGCCAUUUAAAUGCAACUCAAGAGAAGGCCAUAACUGCUUCAGUACAAAUCCAGGAGAUGCUGAACAGCCAAUGGCUCUUACAUGCCUGCCUAGAUGACACCAAACAUCAGAGCUACUGAAGACGAGACCUUCCAUGAACAUUUAAAUUGGAGAAUCCUGACGGCUGCUCUGAGUUAUAAGACUUGCCAGCGUUCUCAAGAGGUUUUAUUCUCUCUGCUGUUUGUGAAGUGAAAGUCACGCAAGGAAAGUAUCUUGUGUCAGUCACGGGUCUGGGAUUCCUUUGUUGCUGGCAUUUACUUAAACUUUUAUACUGUUUUAAUAUUUCACAACUAACAUGUGAAAAGGACAAUAACAAUUAAAUUAAAGCAAAUAAACUGGUUGGUUUUAGAUGUA
Molecule: long non-coding RNA, 2509 nt
Organism: Oxyura jamaicensis (ruddy duck)
Lineage: Eukaryota; Metazoa; Chordata; Aves; Anseriformes; Anatidae
Exons: 4
Source: RefSeq, a predicted model, not a curated record